GCUGGGCAUGGUGGCCCAUGCCUGUAAUCCCAGCUACUCAAGAGGCUGAGGCAGGAGAAUCACUUGAACCCAGGAGGCGGAGGUUGCAGUGAGCCAACAUUGCGCCACUGCACUCCAGCCUGGGCAACAGAGUGAGACUCUGUCUCAA
This 148-nucleotide non-coding RNA is filed under the name Nomascus leucogenys (northern white-cheeked gibbon). Lineage: Eukaryota; Metazoa; Chordata; Mammalia; Primates; Hylobatidae. The record is from Rfam by way of RNAcentral.